RNAcentral lists this ribosomal RNA (444 nucleotides) under uncultured bacterium. RNAcentral's name for it is "partial 16S ribosomal RNA". It matches the Rfam family "Bacterial small subunit ribosomal RNA", at positions 354 to 796 of the family's 1533-position model. The record is from RNAcentral.
GUAGGGAAUAUUGGGCAAUGGUCGGAAGACUGACCCAGCCAUGCCGCGUGCAGGAAGACGGCCCUCUGGGUUGUAAACUGCUUUUAUCUGGGAAGAAAAAGGCCAUGCGUGGCAAAUUGCCGGUACCAGAUGAAUAAGCACCGACUAACUCCGUGCCAGCAGCCGCGGUAAUACGGAGGGUGCGAGCGUUGUCCGGAUUUAUUGGGUUUAAAGGGUGCGUAGGCGGCUGAUUAAGUCAGCGGUGAAAGACUUCGGCUUAACCGGAGCAGUGCCGUUGAUACUGGUUGGCUUGAGUGUCGGAGGGGUACAUGGAAUUGAUGGUGUAGCGGUGAAAUGCAUAGAUACCAUCAGGAACACCGAUAGCGAAGGCAUUGUACUGGCCGACAACUGACGCUGAUGCACGAAAGUGUGGGGAUCGAACAGGAUUAGAAACCCGAGUAGUCC